RNAcentral lists this unclassified non-coding RNA (7877 nucleotides) under Leishmania donovani. RNAcentral's name for it is "gene:LdHU3.29.2210(CDS-product:hypothetical_prote in_conserved)". The record is from RNAcentral. Lineage: Eukaryota; Euglenozoa; Kinetoplastea; Trypanosomatida; Trypanosomatidae.
CAUGCACCCACGAACAUACUCAUGCAGUAAGCGAAGAGGGAAGUCAUCCGCAUUCACGUGUUCGUCCGCGCGCCUGCCGUAGCUUGCCUCAUCAUCGAGCGUCUUUACACAGACAUAAAUAAGAAAGAGGGGCAGCCGGCAUCACUCGCGCAGAAUCACAGAACGAACAUUCGCCACAUAAGCGACGCAUCCUGGAGAAGAAAGCAGAGCACCGGCUAGGGAGGGGGUUGCCUGCCUGGGCACUCGCAUUUUAUUUUCCGUGGUUCCCGAGGCAAAAGCGGAGUCGGAGCAAGUGGAAAGGUGAGCACCAAAGUAGACGCUCACCUGCCCAACGUUCCGGCCAGCACUGCCAGAGAGAAGAGUCACUAACUUCACCUCCCCCCUUUCUCUCCCUCUCACUCCCCAUUAUUGUGGUUUGACACGAAGUCCUCGCUUGUGUGUGUGCUUGCGUUGUUGGCAACAAAGAAGGAGCAUUCAACGAAGACAGUACAUCUUCCUCUUCCGCCUUCACGUAUUACCCAUCCUUUCUUCUCACUGCAGCUCGUUCUGACUCCUUCCCACUCCUCUCUCUUUUCUGUCGCCACAUACGCCGACGCACGCAUCCCCCUGAGACCCAUCAUACACGCCCCUAAGCGUUUCAAACGGAGAGAGGGAGGCAUACACGUUUUUUGUUUUGUGCUUGCUCUCUUUUUCCCACCUUUUCCGGUUCCUCAUUCUUUUUCCUCUUCCUUCUCCGAGCUUGCUUGCUAUCACACACAUCGAUUUGUUUCUUAUUAGUGUUCUUUCCUUGUGCAUUGCUCUUGACAUGUGAGGGGCGCACGUGCUUGUUUUUGGUGGCUCGUUGGUUUCUCUUCUCCCUUACUCACUCCUACACGCCCCCCCCCCCCCCCCCGCGCACGGGUUCAUUACGACGACGACUACACACGCGUGCCGGGUGUCUCACGCAGACAGGCAAGCAAAGGAGACGAAUGGCUAUCGUCCCUCCCUUUUUUUUACCAGCCCAUCUGCGAUUUUUUUUUGCUUCUUGGUGGUGGGGGCUCUCCUUUCCUUUUUGAAUGCUUCUUGUCAUUGCAGUUUCUCCCCACCCCUUCGUGACUCUCUCAUAAGCGUCUAUACACAUAUAUCCACAUACACAUAUACAUACAUAUCGUUUAGUUGUCUGACUAUCUGAACUCCUGUCAGAGGGUCCUUUCCUUCUCCAUACUUUCUCUUCUUUUAGUACUUUGCAGUACGCCGAGGAAAGAAAACUUAAAAGUGAGGGAGAGAGAGGGAGCUUACCUGCAAAAGAGAAAGGCGCGAUACGUAAAGACAUAAAUAUCUUGCUUGCGUGUCUUGUGUCUUGUGUGUGCGCGCGCGUGCGUGUUGAGGGUGAGCGUGAGAGAGAGAGACGCAACAAGAGAAACAAAAAAAAACACAACAGGAACGAAGGUUCCGAGCUCACUUGAUAGUCCGUGUGCUUUCCAUCUUCUUGCAUACCCGCACCCGCCGUUCCCCUUCUUCUCUCCCUUCUUUGCUUUCGUUUUGUUUUGCUUUCUUCCUUUGUUGUUGUUUUCCCUCUUCUUUUGCUAACUCACUCUGUCUUGCUCUGAGUGUCUCCCUGUUCUCCGACACUGCCUUACACACGUCAUCAUCUACGCCUCCUCUUCGUUGCGUGUGCCUUGUCUUUGUGCCUCUUUUGAUUGUGCUCCUGCGUUUCGUUAGUUUCAUUUUUUGUUUUCGUGUUUUUUUUUGCUUUUUGCUUUUAGUUUUUAAUGUUUUAAUUUUUUUUUUCCGCCUCUCCUUUCUCACUUGCCUUCGUUAGUGUACAUUUUUAUCGUUUACACACUCACACAUAUACGUGUAUACAUGUGUAUACACGUGUACAUGCGUAUGUAAAGGCGUUCACGCUCAUGCUUGGACUCAUACGCAUGCAUAUGCGUUUGUGAGGUUUGCGUUGUAAGACACAGCAUGAUUAUUUAUAUUUUUGUUUUCUGCUUCGUCCCUCUCCUCCUCCAGCCUCCUCCCUCUUUUUUUUUCUCUCGUUGAUUCGUGUGCGCCGCUCUGGGAACUGCGUAUGAAUUCGCAGGAGACGCAGUGCAACACUGGCUUGCAGAAGAGCAAGAGCAUCUGCCCGCCCCUUCAGGUUUAUAGUGGGCAUCAUCAGAAGAAGUCGCACCGGCACGGUGCACAUCACCCAUCAUCUCGGGCCACAGGGAACAGGCCUCCUGUCAUGAUACCGGACGUGAAGUUUGAGGUUCGCGACCCCACGUCUUCUUCACCGUUGCCUCCAAAGAGCAAACCUCUGGAGCAGCCGUCUUCGUCUAUCCUCAGAAACAUGAGCACACCGAGUCCCUCACACACACUCAAUGCUUCUGUGAGAACUGGUGAUGCCUCGAUAACAUCAUCUACCCCUGUAAAGGACAGAUCGAUCAACAGCUUGCACAGCCGCGCACCAGCGUCACAGGAGCAGCGGCAGCACUCACUGCCAACCUUCCGUGAGGCAGAGCUGCCGCUGCCACCGAGGAAGAACAGUGAUACUCGCCCCUUGCGCCGCCCAAACAGGGUGCCGCGCGACGUCGAGGAUGUCGUGAACGCACCUCUUCCGCCGUGCCGCGCCUCGCCGCAAGGGCCGACACAGGAUUCACGGGGAGCUAGGGCAGGCUUGGAUGACAACGGCGUGCAUGUGCACAUGUCAGAAACUGCCUUGAUGUCAAUUUUGCCCGUGGAGGCCACGCUCACGGCGGACGCGACAGAUAGCCGGGUGUCGGGGGAAAAGCGGAGCUUCCCUACACUCCGCGUGCCUCAUCAAAAGCAGGCAGACCCCCGAGCGAUACAUCGUCGCGACGACAUCGGCAGCAGCAGCAGCACCCCGCGCGCCACCGGCGAGCAGAGAGCGCUCGACCCCAGCAUCACAGCGCUGGAGUCGGAGACGGUCACUGCGCAUGCGAUGCAAGCGAGCGCUGUCACUGGGAGCGGCACCGCACUUCAGCCCCAUCCCCCCUUGACCUCCGUCCCUCUCGCAUCUCGCCAUCCAACCGUGGUGGAGGUGCUGCGGCGGCCGCAGCCCGCGCCGUCUGCACACGCGGGCAGUCCGCAAUCUCGUGCGUUAGAGGCCCUCGGCCGCUCUGCUUUGGCUGGGCCGAUCUCCGAUACCUCCCGGAUGCCCGCAACCGACUCCGGCGCGUCCGAAGGCAACCAUCUACUCGGGCUACUGAGUCCACACCCGCCGGCCUCGCUGAGACCACUCGACACCGAGGAGGUCAACGGGGGCUGCGACGGCGGCUUGCAGGUUCCGCCUCCGUGCUCGUCAUCGCGGCCGCAGAGCUCUCUCAGCUGCCUGAUUUCAACGGAAGACGGGAUGGAGGGCAAGAGCCGCGUCGACAGCUGCGUGAUGGUCUGCGACACGCAGCACUUACCCCAGUCGGACAGCGAGUGCCUCUCCACGCCAUCGUCGACGUGCCGCCGCUCGGCGUACAGCGUCAACGCCUCCCGAAACAUGCUUGAAAUGUUGCCCUUCACUGACUCUUUCGUUGCACGCGCUGAGAUGCCGAGCGCGUGCGUUCGCGCAAGGCCGACGCGUCCUCUCGGUCGUCGCACGCGCUCGGGCAUCGCCGGCUUGCUGACGAGUUUUGGCACUCCAGCCGGCACGACGAGCUCCAGCGCCAGCGUCCUCGAGCACGGCGUCGCGGCGAUGCGGCGCGGCAACAGCGCCCGAACGCGGCCGUCGACGCUCGAGCCUCCUCCCACCCGCAGCAGCGGGAGCGCCAGCACGGCCACUAUGCGCGUUGCCGAAACCAGUCACGUAUUGGGCACAGCACCCCCGCCACCACCUUCCCUCUCCUCGGCCACCGAGGAAAAAGAAGACCAAGCCCGUGAGCAGCCGCCGAGUCGUGACUCUCAGAAGACCUGCAAUGCGCCUGCCCUGACCACGCCUCACUCUCCGCAUCACCCGGCUGCGCACACCUUGACUUUGAAAGCGCCAAUCAGUGACUGCGGCGUGGCCCAGUCGGGCAUCGCGGCAUGUGCGCGAAGGAAGUCCAUGGAAGACCAGCAGCGGAAGCAGCUGCGCGGUAGUUGUGCCUUGCAGCAUCGCGCGCGUCCUGAAAUGUGCGGCGCGCCCAACAUCGUGGACUCGGUAACAGCCACCCCUGACGCUGAUGCCGCCAGCUGCAUUGCUACCACCCCGUCAUUCACUUGCACGACGUCACCGCAGGGCAACGCGACUCCGGCAAAGCCAAACAGCUGCGUGUCCCUUGGCGCCUCAGUAAUCUCGCUGGACGACAGCGUCAUGGGCGCUUCGCCAGGAGUUGUCGCUGCGGCGGCCGUGACGACCACGUCUGAGUCCUCCCCGGCAACACCGGCGGCCGAGGGAGAACUGGAGGCUGAUGCGCACCACCGAAGCUCGCUCCGCUCGCUGGAGAGGCAGCAGGUGAACCCCUUCCUCCGCUCCGCUUCGAUUCUCUCGAUGCGCUCCUCGUCCCUGGGACGCAGUAGCCCAAGCACCGCCGCCGCCGGCGGUCGUAGUGGACGCGGUGGGCGGGGGCACCACGGCUCCCUGCCGCUAUCGUUUGUGAAGGUGCCGCCGCUUGUGUGCGGUGCGCAGGGGUUGUCCUUCUGUUCACUCACCGCCUCCGGCGUUCAAGCCUGGGUAGAGGAAGGUGCCGUAGAUGCGCCGCUUGACGUCUGCGUGACGACGUUGUCGUCGUUGCUCCGCAAGACCGAUUCGCAGCUGCGCACGGCAGACAGCAGUGUUUGCGGUGGCAGCAACUUGCUGCGGCUGAUCCCGCGCAGCGAAUGCGCCGCCGGCGCGGGUAGCAUCCUUCGACCACGCAGCAGCUUCUGUUGUUCUCAUCUCGGCUUGUCAAGCAGGGCCAAGCGCUCCGGCAGCAGUUCCCUGCAGCGAACGCCACCACCGCCUGGCCCCCCGGUCAACGUCACAAACUUCACCAACAACGUCUCGUUUCACCACACCAUCUUUCUCAACUCUUCCACGCGGUCAGUAGUGGGGGCGAGCGAGGGCGAUGCAGCGUCGGUGGCGACGACGACAACAACGAUGACGACCACCGCAGCGCACUCCAUUACCCGCUCGAAAGCACGCGUGCUCCUGUCGCCGGUUGGGCAGAGCAGCGCCUACCAGGAUGAAGAGGAGUCCGAAGUGCAGCGCGACGUGAUGAUCGGCUUCGCUUCCGCUCAGGACGCGACCAUCGCAACACGAACAGUGAGCGAGGAGAUGCAGCCGAGCCGCCUCCGUGCCAUGGGCGCGAUGCUUGAACAUCCGGAUGCGCCGCCGUUUGCCAAGGCUGCCAUUCAGCGUCUUCACAUGCGGUGCCCCCAACUACCACAAACCCAGCCGCUCGACACGCACUCUUCGCCCGACCUCUUGCGCAGCGGACGAGACGACACCGCCGCGGAAGCGCCAGUGAUUGUCACUACGACCACCUCUAUCCACUCAUGCCGCUGCAUGGGUCAUUCUUGCAUGGCUAAGCUGCAGAACUCCAGCGCUGCCGCAGUCGGCACAGAUGAUCCGCGGUCUCAGGAGCUCUCGGCAACGCCUUUGGAUGAGGAGGUGCGAACCGGGCAGUCCAGCGCGUUUCUCAUCCCACGCAUUUGCCACGAUCGCUGCCACCUCUGCGACGUUCACAAGUACGCCAAGCAGCAACAGCGAACAACGACCGUGUUGUUGGAGUCCGUGAAGGCGAUCAAACCGCAACGACAGAACGCGCUUGUGCCACGCAGCAUAGUGGAUGCGAACAGAUCGGUGGCUGGUUGCCUAACAGCGACAGAGGUGCACCUCCCCAAGGUACUGCCGGUCAAGCGGCCCGACCAACGCUUCUCCAUCAAGCGCCUGCUCGGCCUGUGAUAAGUGGCAAAGAAGGCGAACAAAUCAAUCGCCCCCGCUUCCCCACUGGGCGCAUACGAGAUGUCUACUUUUCGUUUCCAUCUUGUGUUUGUACAGCCCUUUAGAGACAUAUAUGUGCAUAUAUAUAUAUCACCUCAGCUGGCACGCGCAUCUCUGCGUGUGCCUGUGUGCGCCUGUGCGGCUUGACUUCUUUUGAAUUGUCCCGUUUCUAUAGUGUUGGCUCAUUCUUUUUUUUUUCUCCUGUGCGUGCGUGUGUGUGUGUGUGCUCUGAUUGGUAUGCGUUGCCUUUGGUUGUAUGAGCGGGGACAUACACAGUGGAGGCUGUCUUUAUCUCCUCUCUAUAUUUUCUACCCUUCCACCUCUCCACGGUGCCGUACCCUCCCUUUGUUCUUGCCGAAGAGAAUCUGAGGGAGGGGGGCUCUCUUAGCGUUGGGAAGAUAAACAUGGACAAGGUUGCCAACGCGAGGCUAAAAAGACAGAGGAUGUGACAACAGGGGACGGGCAGGCUUAUAGCUGUGAUCACGACCGCCCGCUCGUGGAGACCUUAGAAAAAGAGGUGGGGGCAAGCAUGUUGGCCGCUCCUCGGAUACAGGGCAAGAGGCAGCCACAGAUGAAAAAAAAAACAGCAGGCGAGUAGAGGGAGGCAAUGUGGGAGAACGGCUGGUAUGCACCAUAUUUGCAUCCAGUCAGUUUCUUCCGUUCUCCGCACCACUUCACCUUUCAACUACCCACCCCCCACUGCUGCUCCGCCGCCCUUCCAUGACUCUUUCGCACCUCAGCUGUAGCCCUCCCACCGCGUCAUGCGAUGUGUGGUUUCUUUUUGUUGUUGUUUCCCCCUUUUCUGGCCGCUGUUGUGCGUGGGCAGGCGUCUGACGUGCGUGCUCUCUCUUUUCGUGUCAUAGGUUGGUUUCCGAAAAAAGAAAAAUCAACUCGUGUCAACCCUCUUGUGUCUCUCCUCCUCUGUGUUGGCUGUCCGAUGCAUGACAUGCUUGAUUCCUCAGUUUCCUUUUCUCCCUGUGGUUUGCCUUCUUUCUUCUCCCUCUACUCCCUCGAGUUUGCCAUCACCAUCACAAGCAUCUUCUCCCUCCCUCUCUCUCCCUCUAUUUUGAUGUUGACUUCCGUUCUCUCCCUUUCUGUUGUUGUAAGCCGCUGUGCUUUUUCGUUUGCGUGUGUGCCACGUGCUCUUCGGUUAUGGUUGUGAUUGCCAGUUUCUUUCGUCGUUUCGCUGUAUAUUUUGGGAGCGUGCAACAAGGAUGUGUGUACAGCUACUGCUAGUGGCAGAAGCGGAUCACCAUCACCUCAGAAGAACCCUCCCCCUUUUGCCUCGUGCUACUGUCCCUCCUUCCAAAAAAGCACCGACAACACGAGCGAGUGCCACGAGCGUCCUCCCUAUCCCGUCAUCGACACAUUUCCGUUCGUGAGCGUCAUCCGCGCGCGUCCUCAUUUCUUUCAAUAUUUCUUACCUAAGUUUCCUCCGCAUCCAUCUCUUCGUUUCUCUUCCUUCCCUCGUAUUUCCCUUCUCGUAUACACCGACUCCACCUGAUGGCGUGCGCAGCACUGAAGCACACCCCUUACAAGGCUGUCCCGAAGUCUCCUCACCUCUGGGCGGGUCGCUGUGUAUGUGCCUGUCUCUGUGUGUAUGCUUGGUGGGACUGUAUCUGAGGGUCUCGUAACGAAUGCGUGCAUGUGAAGGUCCUGAUCUCUGCUGUCCGCGAUAAACUGUUUCUUGCCUUUGGCUGCAGUUCUCUAGCGCCUCGCGUGUUCAACUUUCCUCCACCUUGCCGUUUCCCUCUCCCCGACCUUGCUUCUUGUUCGCUGGCUCUUCACGUGCCUGCGCGCACCUGCCCUUCCUUUUGCCUGUGCUUGGUUUUCCGUGUCCGCGUCUGACGGCGGAGCGCCGUUGGUAUGUGUUAUCCCUUGUCUUCCUGUCCGCCCCUUCAUCACCCCCUCCUCCCCUCCUCUUUCUCUACGGUCGUUCGUUUUUCGUUUCUUUCGUUCACCUCUUGCAAUGCUUCUGAUGACAUCGCGAUGCUUGCAG